AUUGAACGCUGGCGGCAGGCCUGACACAUGCAAGUCGAACGGCAGCGGGGGAUAGCUUGCUAUCCUGCCGGCGAGUGGCGGACGGGUGAGUAAUGCAUGGGGAGCUGCCCAGUCGAGGGGGAUAACAACUGGAAACGGUUGCUAAUACCGCAUACGCCCUAAGGGGGAAAGGUGGGGAACUUCGGUCCUACCGCGAUUGGAUGCGCCCAUGUGGGAUUAGCUAGUUGGUGAGGUAACGGCUCACCAAGGCGACGAUCUCUAGCUGGUCUGAGAGGAUGUCCAGCCACACUGGAACUGAGACACGGUCCGGACUCCUACGGGAGGCAGCAGUGGGGAAUAUUGCACAAUGGGGGAAACCCUGAUGCAGCCAUGCCGCGUGUGUGAAGAAGGCCUUCGGGUUGUAAAGCACUUUCAGUCAGGAGGAAGGGGUGAUGGCUAAUAUCCAUCAUCAUUGACGUUACUGACAGAAGAAGCACCGGCUAACUCCGUGCCAGCAGCCGCCGUAA
This 506-nucleotide ribosomal RNA is filed under the name uncultured bacterium. RNAcentral describes it as "partial 16S ribosomal RNA". It matches the Rfam family "Bacterial small subunit ribosomal RNA", at positions 30 to 523 of the family's 1533-position model. The record is from RNAcentral.